GACGAACGCUGGCGGCAUGCCUAAUACAUGCAAGUCGAGCGAACAGAUGAAGUGCUUGCACUUCUGACGUUAGCGGCGAACGGGUGAGUAACACGUAAGUAAUCUACCUAUAAGCGGGGGAUAACAUUCGGAAACGGGUGCUAAUACCGCAUAAUAUCUUCUUCCGCAUGGAAGAAGAUUGAAAGACGGCUCUGCUGUCACUUAUAGAUGACCUUGCGGUGCAUUAGUUAGUUGGUGGGGUAACGGCCUACCAAGACGAUGAUGCAUAGCCGACCUGAGAGGGUGAUCGGCCACAUUGGGACUGAGACACGGCCCAAACUCCUACGGGAGGCAGCAGUAGGGAAUCUUCCGCAAUGGGCGAAAGCCUGACGGAGCAAUGCCGCGUGAGUGAAGAAGGCCUUCGGGUCGUAAAACUCUGUUAUAAGAGAAGAACAAAUUGUAGAGUAACUGCUACAGUCUUGACGGUAUCUAAUCAGAAAGCUACGGCUAACUACGUG
RNAcentral lists this ribosomal RNA (497 nucleotides) under uncultured bacterium. RNAcentral describes it as "partial 16S ribosomal RNA". It matches the Rfam family "Bacterial small subunit ribosomal RNA", at positions 28 to 507 of the family's 1533-position model. The record is from RNAcentral.